GUGAGGUGAGGAAUAACCGGCGAGAAAUCGCCGACAAGACCGCAUAGCCUCAGUGCAAGCUGAGGAAAGCUCUCGCAAGGGAGCGCCACACGAGGAGCCUGCGCCCGAUUAUGCUAGCUGGUGGAGUAACGGUUCACCAGGGCGGCGAUCGGCAGCUGGUCUGAGAGGACGAGCAGCCACACUGGGAUUGAGAACGGCCCAG
RNAcentral lists this ribosomal RNA (202 nucleotides) under uncultured bacterium. RNAcentral's name for it is "partial 16S ribosomal RNA". It matches the Rfam family "Bacterial small subunit ribosomal RNA", at positions 131 to 334 of the family's 1533-position model. The record is from RNAcentral.